ACAUUGGUGGUGCAGUGGUAGAAUUCUUACCUUCCAUGCAGGAGACCUGGGUUUGAUUCCCAGCCAACGCA
RNAcentral lists this transfer RNA (71 nucleotides) under Loxodonta africana (African savanna elephant). It matches the Rfam family "tRNA". Rfam says of the family: Transfer RNA (tRNA) molecules are approximately 80 nucleotides in length. Their secondary structure includes four short double-helical elements and three loops (D, anti-codon, and T loops). Lineage: Eukaryota; Metazoa; Chordata; Mammalia; Proboscidea; Elephantidae. The record is from Rfam by way of RNAcentral.